This 253-nucleotide ribosomal RNA is filed under the name uncultured bacterium. RNAcentral describes it as "partial 16S ribosomal RNA". It matches the Rfam family "Bacterial small subunit ribosomal RNA", at positions 524 to 776 of the family's 1533-position model. The record is from RNAcentral.
UACGAGGGGGGCGAGCGUUGUUCGGAAUUAUUGGGCGUAAAGGGUGCGUAGGCGGUUUGGUAAGUCUUGGGUGAAAUCUCUGGGCUCAACUCAGAGUCUGCACGAGAAACUGCCGGGCUUGAGUGUGGGAGAGGUGAGUGGAAUUCCUGGUGUAGCGGUGAAAUGCGUAGAUAUCAGGAGGAACACCUGUGGCGAAAGCGGCUCACUGGACCAUAACUGACGCUGAUGCACGAAAGCUAGGGGAGCAAACAGG